Podarcis lilfordi (Lilford's wall lizard) is the source of this 73-nucleotide non-coding RNA. NCBI's taxonomy places the organism in Eukaryota, Metazoa, Chordata, Lepidosauria, Squamata, Lacertidae. The record is from the annotation of a GenBank genome assembly.
GAUUUGUGGCUCAGUUGGUUAGAGCGUGGUGCUGAUAACGCCAUGGUUGCAGGUUUGAUUCCCGUCAGGGGCA